GCAGGUCACAUUGACAAGACGAAAAAUGGUUGAGCCAGAUGGCCUUCUAUACUGGGAGAGAUUCUUGGUUAUGCAGCACAAGAAUCACAGAUAUGGCUGAUCCUAUCACAAAUGUGCCUUGCCAGACAUAAAGAGAUACUUUUUCCCUUCAGAAGAGUGAACAAGGACCAAGACAGAUGGUUUAAAGUAAAAGAAAAAGAAACAGUAUGAACCUCAAGCUGGGGAUCACUUGAAACCAUACAAGGCCACCAAGGAUAGGUUCCCACCUUGGACCACACAAGAUCGCCAACCUGAAACUUAACACCAGUGGACACUUCCGUUGUUGGAACAGAAGAUAGUAUUGGCUGAACCUACAGGAAAGGGUCAAAAAACUUCAUCAGAAAUUCAAAAAAAGAAACUAUGUAUAAAGUACAUUAAAAAUGCUAACAAUGUAA
Homo sapiens (human) is the source of this 434-nucleotide long non-coding RNA. The record is from Ensembl. Lineage: Eukaryota; Metazoa; Chordata; Mammalia; Primates; Hominidae.